UCGCAGCACGCCGUCGCGGAACGCGGUGAGCCGCGUCCGGAGCGCCUCCGGGGUGUCCUCCACGGCGGGCGGCGGUUCGGCCACCGCCACUGCGGU
Molecule: transfer RNA, 96 nt
Filed under: Paractinoplanes toevensis
Lineage: Bacteria; Bacillati; Actinomycetota; Actinomycetes; Micromonosporales; Micromonosporaceae
Description: Actinoplanes toevensis tRNA-Arg
Source: RNAcentral